AGAUGCCAGUUAACUGUCGAGAGGGGACGCUCCCUCCUCGUAGGCGUCCACACUGGAGAAGGAAUAAGAUGGGCGAUUGCCUGGGAAGCCUGACAGGGCGGCGGCAGCUGGGAUGCUGGAGAGGACUGGCCCCUUGAGUUACUGAGUCCGAUGAAUGUGCUUGCUCUGCUGGAGGAACCGCGCUCAGGUUACAGUCAUCCCAAUAUGGUUCUGAAGGUGCGUGGUUCAGGUCACUUAGGACUUGACCAGAUACCGGGUUUCUUUUACAAGCCGUUUCUGACGGUGGCCUGUUUCAACUACUGGCAGAGCUCAUGUAAAACAGACUUUUAAAAAAAUUUGGGGGGCUUUUAGUAUUUUUUUCUUAUUCCUAUAUUCUGAGGAUAUUUUAUAGUAGUCCCACAUAUGGAAUUAGAUAAUCUCUUUUUUGUUUGAUUAACAGUUUUAUCAAGUAUAAUGUACAUACCAUAACGUUCACCCAUUUUAAUGGAUUCAAUGAUUUUUAGCAUAUUUACAGAGUGGUGCAACCAUCAGCAUAAUAGAAUUAAGGAAUCGUGAUUUUUUUUUUCUGGUAAUUGCUUUUACAGUUCUCAAAGUUUGCACAAGCGGAUAUUUUAGAGGUACAGUGUAAUAUAAGAGCUUCUGAAAAUGUCCACUUAAGUUGUUUUAUACCUGAGCAAGUGAAAUUAAGAAGGGAAUUGAAGCAAAUAUUCCUGGUAAGUUGUAGGGAGUGAAACUUUUGUGUCUUGUAAUACCAAGUAGAUAUUGACCAUUUCAACUGGUUUUUAUGCUGAGGAAAUGCAUAAACCCCAUUUUACAGAUGAUGAAAUCGACUUUGAAGGAUAAGUUGCCUACAGCUGCAUACCUGUGCCUGGGCUAGGCCCCAAACCCAGAUGCUUUAUCUCUCAAUUUGUUACCCUUGCUACCUCAACAGCUUGGUUUUCAACCAUGGUACUGAUGAGUGUGAACAGUACAAGCCAUUCAUUUACUGAGCAAAUAAUUAUUGAGUGCCACUCUGUGCCAAGAACACUGCUAUAGGUGCUAGAGAUAUUAUUGAAUCAGAUACCGUAGUGAACUGUUCCUGCCCUCAGCUCAUCUUCUGGUGGGGAGGACAAUGAUCAAGUAAAGAAAUAUAUAGUUUUAGAGAUUCAUCUAUUUUUUUAAUAGGUAAAUUAAAAGGGCAAGGAAUGGCAGUGGGAGGCAGAAUCUGAUGAGAAAAAUCUGAAUGAAGAGAGGAAGUUAGGAUAUAAGAAAGAAAGCAAGGGUUUGAUUUGAGCAAGCGCAAAAAUAGAGUUGUGAUUUACUGAAUUGAAAUAAGGUGAUACUGGAAGGACCAGGUUUUGGGGGUACAAUCAUAAGUUUGGCUUUAAAUGUUUUUAAAUACCUUGCCUCUUAGACAUCCAAGUGGAGAUAUGGCAUUUAAAUUCAUGAGAUUGGAUGAGAUCCCACCAAAGGAACAGGUUUAGGUGGAGACAACCAAAUACCGAUGCCUAGGACACUGCAGUGUUUAGAAUUCAAGGAGAUGAGAAGGAAACAGGAGGGAAGAUUGAAAAGAAGAGUCCAGUGUGUUAUGAGGAAAACCCCAAGAGCAUGCUGCCUUACAAGACAGAUGGAGUCCUCCUCUGUCACCCAGGCUGGAACGCAGUGGUAUGAUCUCGGCUAACUGCAACCUCAGCCUGCCAGGUUCAAGCAAUUCUUCUGCCUCAGCCUCCCGAGUAGCUGGGAUUACAGGUGCCUGCUGCCAUGAUGAUUAAUUUUAUGUGUUAACUUAGCUGGGCUGUGUUGCCCAGAUAGUUGGUUAAACAUUAUUCUGGAUGUUUCUGUGAAGAUGUUUUUGGAUGAGGUUAACAUUUAGAUCGGUGGACUUUGAGUAAAGCAGAUUACCUUUCAUAAUUUGGGUGGGGCUCAUCCAAUCAGUUGAACAUCUGAAGAGACCAAAAGACUGACCUUCUGCAAGCAAAGAAAAAUUCUGCCAACAGACAGCCAUUGGACUUGAACUUCAACAUUGACUCUUCAGUCUAUUGGCCCACCCUGCAAAUUUUGGACUUGCCAGUAAGUGUCUGAAAUCUAGUGAGGCAAUUUCUUUCUUUUUUUUUUUUUUGAGAUGGAGUUUCGCUCUUGUUGUCCAGGCUGGAGUGCAGUGGUGCGAUCUCAGCUCACCGUAACCUCUGCCUCCCAGGUUCAAGUGAUUCUUCUGCCUCAGCCUCCUGAGUAGCUGGGAUUACAGGCAUGUGCCACCACGCCUGGCUACUUUUGUAUUUUUAGUAGAGAUGGGGUUUCUCCAUAUUGGUCAGGCUGGUCUCAAAUUCCCAAACUCAGGUGAUCCACCCGCCUUGGCCUCCCAAAGUGCUGGGAUUACAGGUGUGAGCCACAGUGCCCAGCCUAAUUUCUUUCUUUCUUUCUUUCUUUUUUUGAGACAGAGUUUUGCUCUUUUUGACCAGAAAGGAGUGCAAUGUGGCAGGAUGUUGGCUCACUGCAACCUCCACCUCCUGGCCUCUCUAGUAGCUGGGAUUACAGGCGCCUGCCACCACGCCCAGCUAAUUUUUGUAUUUUUAGUAGAGAUGGGGUUUCACCAUGUUGGCCAGGCUGGUCUCAAACUCCUGAAAUUACGUGAUCUGCCCGCCUUGGCCUCCCAAAGUGCUGGGAUUACAGGCGUGAGCCACCAUGCCUAGCCGGGUAGUUUAUCUUGACUUGACUUCAGGCUCACCAAUCCUUUUGGCUGCAAUUCUACGAUAGAAAAGGACAUAAAAAACUUUAAAUUAGCCUUAGAAUAAAGAGAUGUUAUCAUUCCCUAGCAAUUAGUAUUCAAAGCAAGAUCCAAAUAUGUAAUUAGUCAUUUAUGUAUCUAAGCUGUUUGUAUGUAUGAUACAAGUUUUCACAUACAAAUUUCUUCUUUCUUUCUUUCUUUCUUUUUUUUUGAUAGAGGCAGGGUUUCACGACAUUGCCCAGGCUGGUCUUGAGCUCAAGUGAUCCAUCUGCCUUGGCCUCCCAAAGUGCUGAGAUUACAGGCAUGAGCCACAGUGCCUGGCCCAAAUUAUUGUAGUUAUUUCCAAUUCCUUUCCCCCUUCUCACAUCCCAAUUAAAGAAUUCCACUCAGGAAUUGUUGUAGUAGAAGUGCUUUAGUCUGUGUGCUACGGUUUGGAUACUGUUUGUUUGCCAAGUCUCAUGUUGGAAUUUGAUCACUAAUGUUGAAGGUGGAGCCUGGUGGGAAGUGUUUGGGUUGUUAAGGCAGAUCCCUUAUGAAUGGUGUGGUGCCCUUCUAGAGGGAGUAAGUUCGUUCUCACUCUUGGUUCCCACAAGAUCUCGUUGUUGUAAAGAUCCUUGUACUUACCCCUCCUCUCUCUCUUGCCUUCUCUUUCACCAUGUGAUCUACACACACAGUAUCAUAAGGCAUCUUUCUGAUCCUUUAGUGUUCACUCUCCAGUACCUUUAAUAUUUGCCUUCAAAUUUCUCAAAUUUCUUUAUUUACUUCCAUUUUUCUCCUACAAUAAUUGUAGGCGUACUUAAAGUAGAAUUACAAUAUAAAUAAUAUUUUA
This 3533-nucleotide long non-coding RNA is filed under the name Homo sapiens (human). RNAcentral's name for it is "HSALNT0377502". The record is from RNAcentral. Lineage: Eukaryota; Metazoa; Chordata; Mammalia; Primates; Hominidae.